UGUCGCAUAGCUCAAUCGGAUAGAGCGCCCGGCUACGAACCGGGAGGUUGCGGGUUCGAUUCCUGCUGUGACAA
RNAcentral lists this transfer RNA (74 nucleotides) under Streptomyces griseofuscus. Its description in RNAcentral is "tRNA-Arg". It matches the Rfam family "tRNA". From Rfam's summary of the family: Transfer RNA (tRNA) molecules are approximately 80 nucleotides in length. Lineage: Bacteria; Bacillati; Actinomycetota; Actinomycetes; Kitasatosporales; Streptomycetaceae. The record is from RNAcentral.